RNAcentral lists this ribosomal RNA (253 nucleotides) under uncultured bacterium. RNAcentral describes it as "partial 16S ribosomal RNA". It matches the Rfam family "Bacterial small subunit ribosomal RNA", at positions 524 to 776 of the family's 1533-position model. The record is from RNAcentral.
UACGUAGGGUGCGAGCGUUAAUCGGAAUUACUGGGCUUAAAGGGUGCGUAGGCGGCGCUGUAAGUCAGGUGUGAAAGCCCUCGGCUCAACCGAGGAAUUGCGCUUGAAACUGCAGUGCUUGAGUGAGGUAGGGGUGCAUGGAACUUCCGGUGGAGCGGUGAAAUGUGUAGAUAUCGGAAGGAACGCCGGCGGCGAAAGCGGUGCACUGGGCCUUGUCUGACGCUGAGGCACGAAAGCUAGGGUAGCGAACGGG